This 107-nucleotide small RNA is filed under the name Salmonella enterica subsp. enterica serovar Agbeni. RNAcentral describes it as "partial RtT sRNA". It matches the Rfam family "RtT RNA", at positions 1 to 102 of the family's 130-position model. Rfam says of the family: This family represents a bacterial cis-regulatory element known as RtT RNA. The exact function of RtT is unknown although it is thought that it may be involved in changing the cellular response in relation to amino acid starvation. The record is from RNAcentral. Lineage: Bacteria; Pseudomonadati; Pseudomonadota; Gammaproteobacteria; Enterobacterales; Enterobacteriaceae.
UGCAUCUGAAGCCUGACGAGGAUGAGAACCUCCGGAGGGCAAGAGGUUCGACCCGAGCGAAGCGAGAGAACGUUGCGUCAGCAACGGCCCGCAGGGCGAGCCACGCA